This 329-nucleotide unclassified non-coding RNA is filed under the name soil metagenome. RNAcentral describes it as "partial contains 5.8S ribosomal RNA, internal transcribed spacer 2, and large subunit ribosomal RNA". The stretch from base 1 to 120 matches the Rfam family "5.8S ribosomal RNA", at positions 35 to 154 of the family's 154-position model. The record is from RNAcentral.
GAUGAAGAACGUAGCGAAAAGCGAUAAGUAAUGUGAAUUGCAGAAUUCAGUGAAUCAUCGAAUCUUUGAACGCACAUUGCGCCCCCUGGUAUUCCGGGGGGCAUGCCUGUCCGAGCGUCAUUACAACCCUCAAGCUCAGCUUGGUGUUGGGCCCCGCCGCCCCGGCGGGCCCUAAAGUCAGUGGCGGUGCCGUCCGGCUCCGAGCGUAGUAAUUCUUCUCGCUCUGGAGGUCCGGUCGUGUGCUCGCCAGCAACCCCCAAUUUUUUUCAGGUUGACCUCGGAUCAGGUAGGGAUACCCGCUGAACUUAGGCAUAUCAAUAAGCGGAGGA